UACGUAGGGUCCAAGCGUUGUCCGGAAUUACUGGGUGUAAAGGGUGCGCAGGCGGGCUUGUGCGUCAGGGGUCAAAUCCCGGGGCUUAACCCCGGACCGGCCUCUGAAACGGCAAGUCUUGAGUGUGAGAGAGGAUGGUAGAAUUCCUGGUGUAGCGGUGAAAUGCGUAGAUAUCAGGAGGAAUACCAGUGGCGAAGGCGACCAUCUGGCUCAUUACUGACGCUCAGGCACGAAAGCGUGGGGAGCAAACAGG
Molecule: unclassified non-coding RNA, 253 nt
Filed under: uncultured Ignavibacteria bacterium
Lineage: Bacteria; Pseudomonadati; Ignavibacteriota; Ignavibacteria
Description: contains 16S-23S intergenic spacer region
Rfam family: Bacterial small subunit ribosomal RNA
Source: RNAcentral